RNAcentral lists this long non-coding RNA (556 nucleotides) under Sus scrofa (pig). RNAcentral's name for it is "lncRNA (ENSSSCG00025029145.1)". The record is from RNAcentral. Lineage: Eukaryota; Metazoa; Chordata; Mammalia; Artiodactyla; Suidae.
CCUAAUGUGCUUCUGGUCAGUGACAAGUGACACUUUGGAUUUACCUAUUAGAGAAGACUAUUGGCUCUCAACCAGAAUGUUUUCUAAACUCUUCCAUAUACAAGCCUAGUAGAAAUACAGGCAACUAAGUCCCUAUGAUGGAAGCAUCCAGUCAAAGAGUGCAAAGGAAAAGAGUGGUGAUGGGACGUAUCUUCUAAGCUUUGGCGCAAAACCUGAAAAGGCUCUGAGGAGAGAAAGUCAAGGCCAUUCUAGGAACUGCAGGAGAGCAAAAUCAUGUUAUAACAUCCUUGAAAAUUGAAGACCCGCCUUAAGCAUUUCUGUUGACUUGGAAACUGCAGUCCAUUCCAUUGUCAGACAGUUCUGAAGAUAGGAAGUUCUUAAUACUGAAACCAACUCUGGUCUCCUCAUUCCUCAAGCAACUCUAGUCUGGCUCUUUUCCUCACCAUUCCUCCAAAUUGGCCACCUGUGGCUUUUAUGAGAGAAAAUCCAGCGGAUCUAUGCCAGGAUCAUCUUAUUCUCUUAGCAGCAUUUGACCCAGUUGGCAUUCUUAACUUCU